ACAUGCAAGCCGAGCGGUAGAGAGUAGCUUGCUACUCUUGAGAGCGGCGCACGGGUGCGUAACACGUGUGCAACCUACCUUUAUCUGGGGGAUAGCCUUUCGAAAGGAAGAUUAAUACCCCAUAAUAUAUUGACUGGCAUCAGUUGAUAUUGAAAACUCCGGUGGAUAGAGAUGGGCACGCGCAAGAUUAGAUAGUUGGUGAGGUAACGGCUCACCAAGUCAAUGAUCUUUAGGGGUCCUGAGAGGGAGAUCCCCCACACUGGUACUGAGACACGGACCAGACUCCUACGGGAGGCAGCAGUGAGGAAUAUUGGACAAUGGGUGAGAGCCUGAUCCAGCCAUCCCGCGUGAAGGAUGACGGCCCUAUGGGUUGUAAACUUCUUUUGUACAGGGAUAAACCUACCCUCGUGAGGGUAGCUGAAGGUACCGUACGAAUAAGCACCGGCUAACUCCGUGCCAGCAGCCGCGGUAAUACGGAGGGUGCAAGCGUUAUCCAGAUUUAUUGGGUUUAAAGGGUCCGUAGGCGGAUCUGUAAGUCAGUGGUGAAAUCUCGCAGCUUAACUGCGAAACUGCCAUUGAUACUGCAGGUCUUGAGUAAAUUUGAAGUGGCUGGAAUAAGUAGUGUAGCGGUGAAAUGCAUAGAUAUUACUUAGAACACCAAUUGCGAAGGCAGGUCACUAAGAUUUAACUGACGCUGAGG
Molecule: ribosomal RNA, 700 nt
Filed under: uncultured bacterium
Lineage: Bacteria
Description: bacterial SSU rRNA
Rfam family: Bacterial small subunit ribosomal RNA
Source: RNAcentral